This 450-nucleotide ribosomal RNA is filed under the name uncultured bacterium. RNAcentral describes it as "partial 16S ribosomal RNA". It matches the Rfam family "Bacterial small subunit ribosomal RNA", at positions 354 to 796 of the family's 1533-position model. The record is from RNAcentral.
GUGGGGAAUAUUGGACAAUGGGCGAAAGCCUGAUCCAGCCAUGCCGCGUGUGUGAAGAAGGUCUUCGGAUUGUAAAGCACUUUAAGUUGGGAGGAAGGGCAGUAAGUUAAUACCUUGCUGUUUUGACGUUACCGACAGAAUAAGCACAGGCUAACUUCGUGCCAGCAGCCGCGGUAAUACGAAGGGUGCAAGCGUUAAUCGGAAUUACUGGGCGUAAAGCGCGCGUAGGUGGAUUUGUAAGUUGGAGGUGAAAUCCCCGGGCUCAACCUGGGAACUUCCUCCAAAACUGCAUGACUAGAGUACGGUAGAGGGUAGUGGAAUUUCCUGUGUAGCGGUGAAAUGCGUAGAUAUAGGAAGGAACACCAGUGGCGAAGGCGACUACCUGGACUGAUACUGACACUGAGGUGCGAAAGCGUGGGGAGCAAACAGGAUUAGAAACCCGGGUAGUCC